Candidatus Staskawiczbacteria bacterium is the source of this 82-nucleotide non-coding RNA. Lineage: Bacteria; Candidatus Staskawicziibacteriota. The record is from Rfam.
GCCGCAGUGGUGAAACUGGAAUACACGCAUGCUUCAGGAGCAUGUCCCGCAAGGGUUGAGGGUUCGACUCCCUCCUGCGGCA